This 32-nucleotide non-coding RNA is filed under the name Mus musculus (house mouse). The record is from RNAcentral. Lineage: Eukaryota; Metazoa; Chordata; Mammalia; Rodentia; Muridae.
UAGAUGGUACAGGUCUUGUUUUAGUUGGACGA